UACGUAGGGGGCGAGCGUUACCCGGAUUUACUGGGCGUAAAGAGCGUGUAGGCGGCUGGCCAAGCGUGAUGUGAAAUCUUCGGGCUUAACCCGAAAACUGCAUUGCGAACUGGUCUGGCUAGAGUGUGUGAGAGGGUAGUGGAAUUCCCGGUGUAGCGGUGAAGUGCGUAGAUAUCGGGAGGAACACCAGUGGCGAAGGCGGCUACCUGGCACAUAACUGACGCUGAUACGCGAAAGCGUGGGGAGCGAACCGG
Molecule: ribosomal RNA, 254 nt
Filed under: uncultured bacterium
Lineage: Bacteria
Description: partial 16S ribosomal RNA
Rfam family: Bacterial small subunit ribosomal RNA
Source: RNAcentral